UAGGGAAUAUUGCACAAUGGGCGAAAGCCUGAUGCAGCAACGCCGCGUGCACGAUGAAGGUCUUCGGAUCGUAAAGUGCUUUUCUGGGAGAUGAGAAAGGACAGUAUCCCAGGAAUAAGUCUCGGCUAACUACGUGCCAGCAGCCGCGGUAAAACGUAGGAGGCAAGCGUUAUCCGGAUUCACUGGGCGUAAAGCGCGUGCAGGCGGUUUGGUAAGUUGGGCGUGAAAUCUCCUGGCUUAACUGGGAGAGGCCGUCCAAUACUACCGGACUAGAGAGCAGUAGAGGAAGAUGGAAUUCCCGGUGUAGUGGUGAAAUGCGUAGAUAUCGGGAGGAACACCAGUGGCGAAGGCGAUCUUCUGGACUGUUUCUGACGCUCAGACGCGAAAGCUAGGGUAGUAAACGGGAUUAGAGACCCCGGUAAUCCUAGCCGUAAACGAUGUGAACUUGGCGUCGGUAGCUUAAACACUAUCGGUGCCGCAGCAAACGCGAUAAGUUCACCG
Molecule: ribosomal RNA, 501 nt
Filed under: uncultured Chloroflexota bacterium
Lineage: Bacteria; Bacillati; Chloroflexota
Description: bacterial SSU rRNA
Rfam family: Bacterial small subunit ribosomal RNA
Source: RNAcentral